This 1449-nucleotide ribosomal RNA is filed under the name uncultured bacterium. RNAcentral's name for it is "bacterial SSU rRNA". It matches the Rfam family "Bacterial small subunit ribosomal RNA". The record is from RNAcentral.
GAUGAACGCUAGCUACAGGCUUAACACAUGCAAGUCGAGGGGCAGCAUCAUCAAAGCUUGCUUUGAUGGAUGGCGACCGGCGCACGGGUGAGUAACACGUAUCCAACCUGCCGACAACACUGGGAUAGCCUUUCGAAAGAAAGAUUAAUACCGGAUGGCAUAAUUAUUCCGCAUGGGAUAAUUAUUAAAGAAUUUCGGUUGUCGAUGGGGAUGCGUUCCAUUAGGCAGUUGGCGGGGUAACGGCCCACCAAACCUACGAUGGAUAGGGGUUCUGAGAGGAAGGUCCCCCACAUUGGAACUGAGACACGGUCCAAACUCCUACGGGAGGCAGCAGUGAGGAAUAUUGGUCAAUGGACGAGAGUCUGAACCAGCCAAGUAGCGUGAAGGAUGACUGCCCUAUGGGUUGUAAACUUCUUUUAUACGGGAAUAAAGUGAGCCACGUGUGGCUUUUUGUAUGUACCGUAUGAAUAAGGAUCGGCUAACUCCGUGCCAGCAGCCGCGGUAAUACGGAGGAUCCGAGCGUUAUCCGGAUUUAUUGGGUUUAAAGGGAGCGUAGGCGGGUUGUUAAGUCAGUUGUGAAAGUUUGCGGCUCAACCGUAAAAUUGCAGUUGAUACUGGCGACCUUGAGUGCAACAGAGGUAGGCGGAAUUCGUGGUGUAGCGGUGAAAUGCUUAGAUAUCACGAAGAACUCCGAUUGCGAAGGCAGCUUACUGGAUUGUAACUGACGCUGAUGCUCGAAAGUGUGGGUAUCAAACAGGAUUAGAUACCCUGGUAGUCCACACAGUAAACGAUGAAUACUCGCUGUUGGCGAUAUACAGUCAGCGGCCAAGCGAAAGCAUUAAGUAUUCCACCUGGGGAGUACGCCGGCAACGGUGAAACUCAAAGGAAUUGACGGGGGCCCGCACAAGCGGAGGAACAUGUGGUUUAAUUCGAUGAUACGCGAGGAACCUUACCCGGGCUUAAAUUGCAACUGACGGAACCGGAAACGGUUCUUUCUUCGGACAGUUGUGAAGGUGCUGCAUGGUUGUCGUCAGCUCGUGCCGUGAGGUGUCGGCUUAAGUGCCAUAACGAGCGCAACCCUUACGGGUAGUUACCAUCAGGUUAUGCUGGGGACUCUACCCGGACUGCCGUCGUAAGAUGUGAGGAAGGUGGGGAUGACGUCAAAUCAGCACGGCCCUUACGUCCGGGGCUACACACGUGUUACAAUGGGGGGUACAGAAGGCAGCUACACGGCGACGUGGUGCUAAUCCCAAAAGCCUCUCUCAGUUCGGAUUGGAGUCUGCAACCCGACUCCAUGAAGCUGGAUUCGCUAGUAAUCGCGCAUCAGCCACGGCGCGGUGAAUACGUUCCCGGGCCUUGUACACACCGCCCGUCAAGCCAUGAAAGCCGGGGGUACCUGAAGUACGUAACCGCGAGGAGCGUCCUAGGGUAAAACUGGUGAUUGGGGCU